UGGGGAAUAUUGGACAAUGGGCGAAAGCCUGAUCCAGCCAUGCCGCGUGUGUGAAGAAGGUCUUCGGAUUGUAAAGCACUUUACGUUGGGAGGAAGGGCAGUAAGCGAAUACCUUGCUGUUUUGACGUUACCGACAGAAUAAGCACCGGCUAACUCUGUGCCAGCAGCCGCGGUAAUACAGAGGGUGCAAGCGUUAAUCGGAAUUACUGGGCGUAAAGCGCGCGUAGGUGGUUCGUUAAGUUGAAUGUGAAAGCCCCGGGCUCAACCUGGGAACUGCAUCCAAAACUGGCGAGCUAGAGUAGGGCAGAGAGUGGUGGAAUUUCCUGUGUAGCGGUGAAAUGCGUAGAUAUAGGAAGGAACACCAGUGGCGAAGGCGACCACCUGGGCUCAUACUGACACUGAGGUGCGAAAGCGUGGGGAGCAAACAGG
RNAcentral lists this ribosomal RNA (429 nucleotides) under Pseudomonadota bacterium. RNAcentral describes it as "Proteobacteria bacterium partial 16S ribosomal RNA". It matches the Rfam family "Bacterial small subunit ribosomal RNA", at positions 355 to 776 of the family's 1533-position model. The record is from RNAcentral. Lineage: Bacteria; Pseudomonadati; Pseudomonadota.